UUCCGGCUCCAAUAGCGAAUACUAAUUCUGCUGCAGUUAAAAAGCUCGUAGUUGGAUCUCAACAGCCUUGAAGCGGUUAACUUUGCAGUUUUACUGCUUUAUAGGCUGUGCUUUUGCUGGAGGUUUAGGGGUGCUCUUGAUCGAGUGUCUCUGGAUGCCAGCAGGUUUACUUUGAAAAAAUUAGAGUGCUCAAAGCAGGCUAAAAUGCCUGAAUAUUCGUGCAUGGAAUAAUAGAAUAGGAUGUCGAUCCUAUUUUGUUGGUUUUCGGGACUCGACAUAAUGAUAAAUAGGGACAGUCGGGGGCAUUUGUAUUCAAACGACAGAGGUGAAAUUCUUGGACCGUUUGAAGACAAACUACUGCGAAAGCAUUUGCCAAGAAUGUUUUCAUCA
Molecule: ribosomal RNA, 390 nt
Filed under: Paracalanus sp.
Lineage: Eukaryota; Metazoa; Arthropoda; Copepoda; Calanoida; Paracalanidae
Description: partial small subunit ribosomal RNA
Rfam family: Eukaryotic small subunit ribosomal RNA
Source: RNAcentral